AUUGAGCGCUGGCGGCAGGCCUAACACAUGCAAGUCGAGCGGCAGCGGAAAGUAGCUUGCUACUUUGCCGGCGAGCGGCGGACGGGUGAGUAAUGUCUGGGAAACUGCCUGAUGGAGGGGGAUAACUACUGGAAACGGUAGCUAAUACCGCAUAACGUCGCAAGACCAAAGAGGGGGACCUUCGGGCCUCUUGCCAUCAGAUGUGCCCAGAUGGGAUUAGCUAGUAGGUGGGGUAACGGCUCACCUAGGCGACGAUCCCUAGCUGGUCUGAGAGGAUGACCAGCCACACUGGAACUGAGACACGGUCCAGACUCCUACGGGAGGCAGCAGUGGGGAAUAUUGGACAAUGGGCGCAAGCCUGAUGCAGCCAUGCCGCGUGUAUGAAGAAGGCCUUCGGGUUGUAAAGUACUUUCAGCGGGGAGGAAGGUGUUGAGGUUAAUAACCUCAGCAAUUGACGUUACCCGCAGAAGAAGCACCGGCUAACUCCGUGCCAGCCGCCGCCGUAA
Molecule: ribosomal RNA, 506 nt
Filed under: uncultured bacterium
Lineage: Bacteria
Description: partial 16S ribosomal RNA
Rfam family: Bacterial small subunit ribosomal RNA
Source: RNAcentral